Molecule: long non-coding RNA, 2448 nt
Organism: Hylaeus anthracinus
Lineage: Eukaryota; Metazoa; Arthropoda; Insecta; Hymenoptera; Colletidae
Exons: 5
Source: RefSeq, a predicted model, not a curated record
AGAGGUAUGACAAAGAGUCAUCCUGUUGAUUGCUCGUUCUAGGAAGCCGAUUUAUUUACAACUUUCAGGUCGCGUAUUUAUAACACCGAGCCUUAUCACUUCCCGCGGGGAGGAAAAAAAUUUGUUUACAAGAUCCCCUUCGACGUAAAUGGGACAACGCCUCCUGAGACCUCGCUCGCGGAGCAUGACCGAUCGUACGCAGUAAUCGAAAGGCAACCGUGCUUGUAACAUCAAACAAGUCUAUCGUUACUCUUAUACGUUAAUAGUGGGGAAAGAUAAUUCUUCCCUAAAACUUUAGAAAUUUCUACAAUCUUCACUCUUUGGGACUUCAAAAUCAAGAACAGAGGAAAAACUGGACCUGCAUCCUUUAGGACUCAUUGGGACACCAAACCAAGAACAGAGGCUAAAAUGGACCUGCAUCCUUUAGGACACAUUGGGACCUCCAAACCAAGGUAUCAACUUCCUAAAUAACUUCACAAAAAACUCAAAAAUAACCGUUCCACUCCCCUCGCAUAUCCAAACUAAAUAACAAAUAAUUAAUUUACAGAACCGAGGUAAAAAUGGGCCUGCGUCCAAACUCCGUCAGUCUCUCCGCUUGGCCGUCGUCCAAUCCGCAACAACCGCGUUACAAAGUGCCUGGAGAAAAUUCUGCGCCCGUCCGAGGCUUUAAAUUCGCCAGGGGGUUCCGUCGUUGAGGGUGGCCGGAGAAUCCGCCCCCGACCAGCAAACGUGGAAUGUUUCACGAACGUCGGGCACGCGUUUCCAAUUCCCCCGUCGCGGUCUCAUUCUGCUCUUCCUCGGUCGGUUAUUGUGCACCACGCGUCAAAGAAGACAUCACGCGGCUCGCGAUCGCAAAGAGGCCUUCCAGCUUCGACCGUGGACAAUUAGAUUCACGCAGUUGCCCAGAAGUUGGACCAACACUGGCCACACCCAUUGUGGAAGCGACCCCACGAGUUUUUGCCUUUAGUUGUCUGGCCAGCGUCCCGGGCGUUGUCGGGCUUGUUGGACAGCCGAUGGGACAACCGGGCAAAUUGUUUCGCGGAUCGUCCUGCCAGCCGAAACUAGCGACCUUAAAGCGGGACUUCAAUGGGGUUAAAUUGCGAUAAAAGGACUGGCCGAGGCUACGACCAGGUGUAAAGUAGACGUCAAGGGAACCGGAGGAGCCUGGGCUAGGAUUCUCUUCUCUUCACGCAACUACGUGGAUGAAAUUCAUUCUCGUUCUUCAUUCUGAAAUCCGCAGUUUCCAAAUCAGAGAAAAGAGAUGAUCGUCGAAACACAAAAGAACACCUCGGCACAAAAGAAAUUCCCAAGGAGCGUUUCUGAUAGCGUGAAGAUCAAGGAUACGUUCGCAUCUCCCUCCCGAAGGAAGAUUGAAUUUCCCUCCAACCGAACUUGGCUGAUUGCAAUUGAAAGUGCUUCCCACGACUCUGGCUCACAAUCGAUCCGUCACGUCUCGAUUCGUCGACAAAGAGUCUCUCUAGUCUACGAUUUUCGAGGCUACCACGCGAUCUUCGGCUGGCUGGAUUUCACAUGCCUCAUGAAUCAUGGGAUUUGUAGAUGAAUUAAGUCCCAUCGCGUGGACCCGUUUUCAAUUCGAGACCGCGGCUAACUCCACCUCGAAAACGGACCCAGCCGGUGGUCCUAGCUGGGGUGGUAAAGUACCGGUCAUUGUGGUCCGCUGUCGCUCGAAUCCCUCUCCGUCCCUUUCGGCCACCCCUUUCCUCGUCCGCUCGUUGCUUCCAAUGUUGCGUGGAUCUUUUUAAAACCGGAUUCAAGGAUGCACAGGUGGCCAUUCGGCUCGAUGGAAAUGAAAAACGGCGCGUCUCUAUGGGACAAAUUAAUCUGAACUGCCUCCGAAUUAAACGGAGGAGGCUAAAUCUGGAUUUGAUCUCUGGAAAGCCGCGGUCGAUGGCGAUACCUUCCUUUCUGUGCAUCGUUAACGGACCGUACACGUGAUUUAUUAUUUUUCGUUCUCGGAAAACUAUAAAACGCCUUCUGUAUCUCGCGUUAUGAAUAGGGUAAUUAGGUGAGCAGGGGCGAAGAUGAUGGAGGGACCAUUCGAGGGAGGUUUUCGUGAGACGUCCUUGGAGGGAUGGAGUACAACUUUGGAGAAGUGUUUAAAUGAACGGUAAUGUCAUACUUCUUACUUAAGGAUGAAUGAAAUGAUAUUCGUCAUAAAGUUCAGAAAUGCGACGAAAUAAUGAUCAUUGAUUUUUUAAAUUCCAUUUAUAAUAUAAAUUCAAACAAAUAUCGUGGAAUGCAUAAGCUUUCAUCUAACGAUAUGUAAAAUUAAUAAGAAAAAAUAGCCAAAAAAUGAUCCUCAGUAAUGCAGACUCAUUUGUACCUGUAUUAUUUAUUUAACAUUCGAGUGAUCAUUUAUAAUAGAACACCAAGGGUACCGCAGUUUAGUCUUCAAAUAUUUACUGAUUUCUUUUUUCGUUCGAAGAA